This 508-nucleotide ribosomal RNA is filed under the name uncultured bacterium. RNAcentral's name for it is "partial 16S ribosomal RNA". It matches the Rfam family "Bacterial small subunit ribosomal RNA", at positions 28 to 507 of the family's 1533-position model. The record is from RNAcentral.
GACGAACGCUGGCGGCGUGCCUAAUACAUGCAAGUCGAACGCUUCUUUCCUCCCGAGUGCUUGCACUCAAUUGGAAAGAGGAGUGGCGGACGGGUGAGUAACACGUGGGUAACCUACCCAUCAGAGGGGGAUAACACUUGGAAACAGGUGCUAAUACCGCAUAACAGUUUAUGCCGCAUGGCAUAAGAGUGAAAGGCGCUUUCGGGUGUCGCUGAUGGAUGGACCCGCGGUGCAUUAGCUAGUUGGUGAGGUAACGGCUCACCAAGGCCACGAUGCAUAGCCGACCUGAGAGGGUGAUCGGCCACACUGGAACUGAGACACGGCCCAGACUCCUACGGGAGGCAGCAGUAGGGAAUCUUCGGCAAUAGACGAAAGUCUGACCGAGCAACGCCGCGUGAGUGAAGAAGGUGUUCGGAUCGUAAAACUCUGUUGUUAGAGAAGAACAAGGACGUUAGUAACUGAACGUCCCCUGACGGUAUCUAACCAGAAAGCCACGGCUAACUACGUG